CCCGGGCCUUGUACACACCGCCCGUCACACCACGAAAGCUGCUUGAACCAGAAGUCCGCGACCCAACCUUCCUUCGGGGAGGAGGGAACGGCCCAAGGUUUGGGUGGUGAUUGGGGUG
Molecule: ribosomal RNA, 118 nt
Filed under: uncultured bacterium
Lineage: Bacteria
Description: partial 16S ribosomal RNA
Rfam family: Bacterial small subunit ribosomal RNA
Source: RNAcentral